RNAcentral lists this ribosomal RNA (274 nucleotides) under Callyspongia fallax. RNAcentral describes it as "partial 28S ribosomal RNA". It matches the Rfam family "Eukaryotic large subunit ribosomal RNA", at positions 69 to 313 of the family's 3401-position model. The record is from RNAcentral. Lineage: Eukaryota; Metazoa; Porifera; Demospongiae; Haplosclerida; Callyspongiidae.
CAGGGAUUCCCUUAGUAACGGCGAGCGAAGUGGGAACCAGCCCAGGUCUGGAAUCUCCCGGUCGGCAUUAGUCGUGACCGGGCGAAUUGUGGUCUGGAGAGGCAGACUGUCCCGAUCCACCGCCUGCGAGCCCGAAGUUGACUUGGAACGGCACGCCAGAGAGGGUGAGAGCCCCGUAGGGCAUGGAAAUCGUUAGCGGCGGGACGAGGGUCUGUUCUCGUAGAGUCGGGUUGUUUGGGAAUGCAGCCCAAAGUGGGUGGUAGACUCCAUCCAA